GACGAACGCUGGCGGCGUGCUUAACACAUGCAAGUCGAACGGUAAGGCCCUUCGGGGUACACGAGUGGCGAACGGGUGAAUAACACGUGGGUGAUCUGCCCUGCACUUCGGGAUAAGCCUGGGAAACUGGGUCUAAUACCGGAUAGGACCCUGGGAUGCAUGUCCUGGGGUGGAAAGCUUUUGCGGUGUGGGUUGGGCCCGCGGCCUAUCAGCGUGUUGGUGGGGGGAUGGCCUACCAAGGCGACGACGGGUAGCCGGCCUGAGAGGGUGACCGGCCGCACAGGGAGUGGGAUACGGCCCAGACUCGUACGGGAGGCAGAAGUGGGGAAGAGUGCACAAUGGGCGCAAGAGUGAUGCAGCGACGCCGCGUGAGGGAUGUCGGCGUUCGGGUUGUAAACCUCUUUCAGCACCGGCGAAGCACAAGGGACGGUAGGUGCAGAAGAAGGACCGGCCAACUACGUGCCAGCCGCCGCGGUAA
This 478-nucleotide ribosomal RNA is filed under the name uncultured bacterium. RNAcentral's name for it is "partial 16S ribosomal RNA". It matches the Rfam family "Bacterial small subunit ribosomal RNA", at positions 28 to 523 of the family's 1533-position model. The record is from RNAcentral.